GUCUUAGCUCAGUUGCUUAGAGCAUGAUGCUGAUAACGCCAAGCUUGUAGGUUCGAUCCCUAUGUGGGACA
Molecule: non-coding RNA, 71 nt
Organism: Podarcis lilfordi (Lilford's wall lizard)
Lineage: Eukaryota; Metazoa; Chordata; Lepidosauria; Squamata; Lacertidae
Source: the annotation of a GenBank genome assembly